UAGGGUUUUUAGGGUUAGGCAGGGUUUAGGGUUAGGUAGGGUUUAGGGUUAGAAAGGGUUUAGGGUUAGGUAGGGUUUAGAAUUAGGUAGGGUUUAGGGUUAGUAGGAUUGGGUUAGGUAUGGUUUAGGGUUAAAAAGAGGGUUUAGGGCUAGGUAGGGUUUACGGUUAGUAGGGUUUAGGAUUAAAAAGGGUUUAGGGUUUAGGGCUAGGUAGGGUUUACGGUUAGUAGGGUUUAGGGUUUAGGGUUAGGUAGGGUUUAGGUUAGGUAGGGUUUAGGUUAGUAGGGUUUAGGGCUAGGUAGGGUUUAGGGUUAGGUAGGGUUUAGGGUUAGUAAGAGGAAAAACGAAGAGAAGAGUAUUCAAGCAAGAAAGAACGUCACAGCUGACGUGGACAAUGUGGAGUCAGAUCAAUAACAGUCACGGGUUGUUACAGGCAGUUACAGACGUUAGAUAAUUGAGUCAUUCGUCUAUUAUAAAUAGGAGUCUGUUUGUAAAGUCAAGGAGCUUUUUGAGUACUGAGUAUCUAGGAUCUAGACUAGAAGGUCUUGAUCACUGGCUCUUGACGAGUGAGUCGUCUUGAGAGUUCUUGUAUUGGCUUGUAACUCUGCGUGUAGAGUACAAGAGAGGGAGGCUGGGCGGAACUUCAAUAAACAUAUAUACAUUCUCUUAUCAUUUGGUGCGGUGAGCUCUCGGAUCUCGCGACGAUUGAAGGCGAUGACGAGAUCAACGACUCUCGAAGAAUCGAUACAACGGAUUGGAGCUCUGGACUCCAACGUCGACGAUUUGCGACGGCGAUUCGACAGCUUGGAUGAGAGGUUCAGUCGAUUCGA
This 830-nucleotide long non-coding RNA is filed under the name Brassica rapa (field mustard). RNAcentral's name for it is "long non-coding RNA (BRAP_LNC007164)". Lineage: Eukaryota; Viridiplantae; Streptophyta; Magnoliopsida; Brassicales; Brassicaceae. The record is from RNAcentral.